CAGGACGAACGCUGGCGGCGCGCCUAACACAUGCAAGUCGAACGAGAGAUGAGGAGCUUGCUCUUCAAAUCGAGUGGCGAACGGGUGAGUAACGCGUGAGGAACCUGCCUCAAAGAGGGGGACAACAGUUGGAAACGACUGCUAAUACCGCAUAAGCCCACGGCUCGGCAUCGAGCAGAGGGAAAAGGAGCAAUCCGCUUUGAGAUGGCCUCGCGUCCGAUUAGCUAGUUGGUGAGGUAACGGCCCACCAAGGCGACGAUCGGUAGCCGGACUGAGAGGUUGAACGGCCACAUUGGGACUGAGACACGGCCCAGACUCCUACGGGAGGCAGCAGUGGGGAAUAUUGCACAAUGGGGGAAACCCUGAUGCAGCGACGCCGCGUGGAGGAAGAAGGUCUUCGGAUUGUAAACUCCUGUUGUUGAGGAAGAUAAUGACGGUACUCAACAAGGAAGUGACGGCUAACUACGUGCCAGCAGCCGCGGUAAAACGUAGGUCACAAGCGUUGUCCGGAAUUACUGGGUGUAAAGGGAGCGCAGGCGGGAGAACAAGUUGGAAGUGAAAUCCAUGGGCUCAACCCAUGAACUGCUUUCAAAACUGUUUUUCUUGAGUAGUGCAGAGGUAGGCGGAAUUCCCGGUGUAGCGGUGGAAUGCGUAGAUAUCGGGGGGAACACCAGUGGCGAAGGCGGCCUACUGGGCACCAACUGACGCUGAGGCUCGAAAGUGUGGGUAGCAAACAGGAUUAGAUACCCUGGUAGUCCACACCGUAAACGAUGAUUACUAGGUGUUGGAGGAUUGACCCCUUCAGUGCCGCAGUUAACACAAUAAGUAAUCCACCUGGGGAGUACGACCGCAAGGUUGAAACUCAAAGGAAUUGACGGAAGGG
Molecule: ribosomal RNA, 883 nt
Filed under: uncultured bacterium
Lineage: Bacteria
Description: bacterial SSU rRNA
Rfam family: Bacterial small subunit ribosomal RNA
Source: RNAcentral